Telopea speciosissima is the source of this 183-nucleotide long non-coding RNA. RefSeq lists it as uncharacterized. The record is from RefSeq and is a predicted model, not a curated record. The transcript has 3 exons. Lineage: Eukaryota; Viridiplantae; Streptophyta; Magnoliopsida; Proteales; Proteaceae.
ACAAUAGGAAAACUAAGAUAAAUAUAUAAGUGAUAAUUAAUUUAAUUAGAGCGUUAAGCCCGAACCAUGCAAUUUUUGCUUUGUGAUGCGAUCAAGCUGCUCCGUCAUCUCAGGUGAGAGAUAAUUUGCAGAAUCUCCAACUUUACCUUUGCCUGAAGAAGGCACUAUUUGAAACACCAAUAU